GGGGAGAGGUCGGAUCCUGGGCUGUGUCCCGGGGCCUUGUGCUCCGGGUCUGCGCUGUUGGAUUCAUGCUCCCGGCGGUGCAGCCGCCU
Molecule: microRNA precursor, 89 nt
Filed under: Canis lupus familiaris (dog)
Lineage: Eukaryota; Metazoa; Chordata; Mammalia; Carnivora; Canidae
Description: mir-8799 microRNA precursor family
Rfam family: mir-8799 microRNA precursor family
Source: Rfam by way of RNAcentral